This 2370-nucleotide long non-coding RNA is filed under the name Zea mays. RNAcentral describes it as "long non-coding RNA (ZMAY_LNC004550)". The record is from RNAcentral. Lineage: Eukaryota; Viridiplantae; Streptophyta; Magnoliopsida; Poales; Poaceae.
ACACCCCCGCUCCCUUUUGCUGCUCGACGUGGACAGGCUCGGCGCCCUCUCCUCACUUGAAGUCAGCAACAACGCCUCGGUAGUGGUCGAACAGCACGCUGUUGGCUCCGUGAUUUUUGGGCAACCCGGUUGCAGUGUCGUCAAACCCCGGUGAGACCUCGUUGUCCGUGCAUGCCCUGUGUUUGAUGUAAUGCCAAACCUAUAAAUCGACAUCGUUUCUUGCAGCCCUCUGUCAAAGACGCGUGACGCUUGCUAGGUGUCAAAUAGAAAGACUGAACCGAAACUAUCGCCAUAUUCGCGGACACCGUGUCGAGUUUAGUCGUGGUAAGUCGAUCUGUUGUUUUCGUUAGUCGGAUAAAUGGUUGGUUUGUAUGGAUACAUUGGUCACGAUGACCAUCUUGUUUGUAGCAUGCGUAUUUUGGUUAUGAUUGAUUAAAUAAAGUGUUUGGUAAAAGGCCGGAAUCUGAGUCAUCGUUGUUUUGUGGAAUUCACGGCGAAUUAAUAAUAGUACUCUGAUUUGUUACUACUACCCAUCAACUUAUUAGUAGAUAGGGUAGAUAUACUGGCCAUGGUACUUGUGGCUUAGAAUUAGAAUUAUCUACUCUUUUGCGUUCAUGCAAUUGUAUGCGAGACAGACGUGCGUUGGAAUGUCUAUUUGUUUAUAUGUAUGGUUCAUUGCUUUCUUGAUACUUGGGCUAAACCUGGUUGGUUUAGAAAGGUGGCUAUAAUUUGGUUUACGUGAUUGUCGAGUACGAUUUAAUAGAUUCGAUGUUUGAGAUGUGUUGUUCUGUGGUGUUGUUUAGAAAAAGAAUAUGCUUGUUAUUUAUAGCACUUGAUCGAUAAGGGUUAUGUGUUUCUUGGAUGAAAUCCUAAUGUAUGGUAACAUUAAUGACUUAUCUUAGUAAGUGUCAGGAACAUAAUAAUAGUAGAAGCCAAAUAUGAACUAAAUUGAAAUGUUUGUUGUUUGGACUGUGUGUCCAGUUUUAGUUGCGUAGCUUGUUUAGGGAAGUAAACCGUGUCUCCUGUAGAAGUGUUACAUAUAAAACUUGUAGAUAAUCUCUUUAUCUUGCUUGUGUAAAAAUUUUAUGACCAUAGGCUUAGCAGUUUAGGAGUUAUGAUUUUUCCAAGUCUAGUUUCAGAAUAUGUCCAAAUUCUGUACAAGUUUCGAAAAUUGGAUUGUUUGAUUAAGUAAAACUGAGAAUCAGCUCUUAGUAAUUAUAAAGAAGUUAUAGUACGUUUUGUAGGCUUUCGAAAAAGUCUUGGAUCACCCCUUUUGGUGGUCUAGAAGUCAAGUUAUGGCUGUUUGAAAUGUAAUGUUUGAAUCUGUCAAAAUCUGGACAACAAUGUGUGUUUGAAUUAACUGACUUUGAUACACAUUGAAUCACCUUCAGAUGAUUAUAAAUGAAUUGUAGACAAUUAUAUUAGCUUUCUAAAAAGUCUAGGAUCACCUGAUUUAGAUGUCUGAAACUCCAGUUAUGAAAUUUUAAAGUGAGUGGCCGAAUUCUGUCCAAAUCUGGACAGAAAUUGCGUUUAGUAUUGUUUGACAUUUCUAUAUAUCGAAUCUCACUGUGAUGAUAAUACCAAAAUUGUGGAGGACUUUCUAAGCUUUCCAGAAAGUCAUAGUUUACUAUUUUUGGAUGCAUAUUUUGUGAGUUAUGAAUAAAACAGUUAACUGUUGUGCUGAUGUCUAGAAAAUCUGCAUGUGUUAAACUGAUUUCUUGGUGUCAUUUUUGUUUGCCUAGGAAGGAUUAGUUAAUCCUUGGUCCUUGAUUGAUACCAACUUGUUGCAUAUGAAGUGUUUAUCGAAAUGCCUGGUUAUACUUGAUUAAUUCAUUUCCUUCUUACUGUUUGAUUUAGACUUUAGUAAUUGGGAAUGAAGUAAAUACUUUGGUGAGUGAAUUUGAAUUAGUGACUAUUUAGGUUUUGUGUGAGUAUGGUGAAUCAAUAAUGCGAAAAAGGUUAGUAGACAUUUAUAUCUAGUAUUAUUGAGUUGAUUCGAUUGUCUUGUGUUUAUAAGCGUGUAUGAGUGCCUGAUACUUGCGUUAGGCCUAUUUAAGUGUAAAAGAUGCGCUUGUGGUACAUAGUAAUAUCUUCACAUCUAGUGUGCUCAUAGGAGUUGUGAUGACUUUUUUUAAGUGUUUACCCUCUUUAGUAUAGAACAUCUAUCUCAUGCUAUUCAUGUCCAUGCUCAUAUGCAUUAUGCAUUUCCAAUAGGUACGUUAGAUGAUUAUGCGAGCUGAAGGACAUGGAUCAGAGCGAACCAUGAGAUGGUAUUGGAGGAUUAAUCUUGUGGAUGCAUCAAGCCAGCACCAGAAUGAAAGAUACUUACCAAGUGGUCGUCAAUUAACAACACUAACAUAGUGUUUAUCC